RNAcentral lists this ribosomal RNA (356 nucleotides) under Klebsiella pneumoniae. RNAcentral describes it as "bacterial LSU rRNA". It matches the Rfam family "Bacterial large subunit ribosomal RNA", at positions 1528 to 1865 of the family's 2925-position model. Lineage: Bacteria; Pseudomonadati; Pseudomonadota; Gammaproteobacteria; Enterobacterales; Enterobacteriaceae. The record is from RNAcentral.
UUGUCCAGGCAAAUCCGGAUAAUCAAGGCUGAGGUGUGAUGACGAGGCACUACGGUGCUGAAGUAACAAAUGCCCUGCUUCCAGGAAAAAGCCUCUAAGCAUCAGGUAACAUCAAAUCGUACCCCAAACCGACACAGGUGGUCAGGUAGAGAAUACCAAGGCGCUUGAGAGAACUCGGGUGAAGGAACUAGGCAAAAUGGUGCCGUAACUUCGGGAGAAGGCACGCUGGUGUGUAGGUGAAGUCCCUGCGGAUGGAGCUGAGACCAGUCGAAGAUACCAGCUGGCUGCAACUGUUUAUUAAAAACACAGCACUGUGCAAACACGAAAGUGGACGUAUACGGUGUGACGCCUGCCCG